Oryza glumipatula is the source of this 185-nucleotide non-coding RNA. The record is from Rfam. NCBI's taxonomy places the organism in Eukaryota, Viridiplantae, Streptophyta, Magnoliopsida, Poales, Poaceae.
AAUAAGCAUAGCUGUCAGUUACCGUGUCCAAUGUUUGACCGUCCGUUUUAUUUGAAAAAUAUUGAUGAUUAGUAUUUUUAUUGUUAUUAGAUGAUAAAACAUGUAUAGUAUUUUAUAUGUGACCAAUUUUUUAAAAAAGACAGACGGUCAAAUAUUGGACACGGAAACCAACAAUUACGCUUAUA